This 863-nucleotide ribosomal RNA is filed under the name Cellulophaga sp. '#3 r phiST'. RNAcentral's name for it is "bacterial SSU rRNA". It matches the Rfam family "Bacterial small subunit ribosomal RNA", at positions 32 to 896 of the family's 1533-position model. The record is from RNAcentral. Lineage: Bacteria; Pseudomonadati; Bacteroidota; Flavobacteriia; Flavobacteriales; Flavobacteriaceae.
AACGCUAGCGGCAGGCCUAACACAUGCAAGUCGAGGGGUAACAGGGAGCUUGCUCCGCUGACGACCGGCGCACGGGUGCGCAACGCGUAUGCAAUCUACCUCUUACUAAGGGAUAGCCCAGAGAAAUUUGGAUUAAUAUCUUAUGUGAUAUUAGACUGGCAUCGGUUUAAUAUUAAAGGUUACGGUAAGAGAUGAGCAUGCGUCUCAUUAGUUAGUUGGUAAGGUAACGGCUUACCAAGACUUCGAUGAGUAGGGGUCCUGAGAGGGAGAUCCCCCACACUGGUACUGAGACACGGACCAGACUCCUACGGGAGGCAGCAGUGAGGAAUAUUGGACAAUGGACGGAAGUCUGAUCCAGCCAUGCCGCGUGUAGGAAGACUGCCCUAUGGGUUGUAAACUACUUUUAUACAGGAAGAAUAAGAUCUACGUGUAGAUUGAUGACGGUACUGUAAGAAUAAGGACCGGCUAACUCCGUGCCAGCAGCCGCGGUAAUACGGAGGGUCCGAGCGUUAUCCGGAAUUAUUGGGUUUAAAGGGUCCGUAGGCGGGCUGUUAAGUCAGAGGUGAAAUGCUGCGGCUCAACCGUAUGCACUGCCUUUGAUACUGGCGGUCUUGAGUUAUAGUGAAGUGGCUAGAAUAAGUAGUGUAGCGGUGAAAUGCAUAGAUAUUACUUAGAAUACCGAUUGCGAAGGCAGGUCACUAACUAUACACUGACGCUGAUGGACGAAAGCGUGGGUAGCGAACAGGAUUAGAUACCCUGGUAGUCCACGCCGUAAACGAUGGAUACUAGCUGUUCGGUUUUCGGACUGAGCGGCCAAGCGAAAGUGAUAAGUAUCCCACCUGGGGAGUACGUUCGCAAGAAUG